This 1136-nucleotide long non-coding RNA is filed under the name Sus scrofa (pig). Its description in RNAcentral is "lncRNA (ENSSSCG00015050272.1)". The record is from RNAcentral. Lineage: Eukaryota; Metazoa; Chordata; Mammalia; Artiodactyla; Suidae.
CUUGUCUUACUGUCUUCAAGAUUGGAUGCCCAAGGGUUUAUGAGAUGGCAAAUCUACAUCCGCUUUGGGGGGAGGAACCUCCUCUUCAAUGACUCUGACAAGUCGUUAUUGGUGAUUUUAUGAACUCGUCUAGUAAGCGGGAAUCUGUACAGGGAACUGUUCUCAUUUUCCAUUGCUGGAAUUGGUUUUUAAAAAUGAGAGUUGCAGCCAUCUGGUACUCUGAAGUCUUACCCGGGAUAGUAAUUAUUUAAAAUAAUAAUAACAACAUGAGAACCAAUAAACUGAGCAUUUACCAUGUGCCAGAUGAGAAAACUGAAGCUCUGGAGAAGUCCAGGAACUUGACCAGGAGAUGACUAGUGGCGGAUUUGAAACCGAGCAGCCUGGCUCCAGAAUCAAAAUGCUUGGCUCUGGAACAUGAUAAUCCUCAUCAGGACCAGUCCUGAUCCAAUACGGUCCAUCUCAUUGAGCACCCAGUUAAACAAGAGAACUGUGGAAAGAGUUGUCAAUUUCAUGCCAUCAUCCAGCAUCUGGACUGCUCCCGCAGCAUGUGGAGGUUCUCAGGCUAGGGGUCUAAUCGGAGCUGUAGCCGCCAACUUACACCACAGCCACAGCAACACCAGAUCCAAGCCACGUCUGCGACCUACACCACAGCUCACAGCAACACUGGAUCCUUAAUCCACUGAUGGAGGCCAGGGAUGGAACCUGCAACCCCAUAGUUCCUAGUCAGAUUCGUUUCCACUGUGCCAUGAUGGGAACUCUGCAAACUAUUAUAUUUAGAAUGGAUGGACAAUAAGGUCCUACUGUAUAGUGCAGGGAACUAUAACUGAUCUCCUGGACAGACCAUGAUUGGAAAAAAAAGAGUGUAUAUAUAUGUACGACGGGGUCAUUUUACUGUACAGUAGAAAUUGGUACAACGCUGUAAAUCACCUAUAAUUAAAAAGUAAUAAAAUACUAAAAAAAUAGGUGAUUAAUAAGUAUCUACUGUAUAGCACACACAGGAAAAUCUACUCAAUAGUUUGUAAUAAUCUAUGUGGGAAAAAAGAAUGGAUAUAUGUAUAUGUAUAACUGAUUCACGUUGCUGUAUACCUGAAACAAAUACAACAUUGUAAGUCAACUAUACCCAAAUACAAAAUUUU